Molecule: ribosomal RNA, 264 nt
Filed under: uncultured bacterium
Lineage: Bacteria
Description: partial 16S ribosomal RNA
Rfam family: Bacterial small subunit ribosomal RNA
Source: RNAcentral
CGGACCGGCGCGACGGGUGAGUAACGCGUAUGCAACCUGCCCGUUCAGCGGAUACCCGGAGAAAUCCGGCCUAAUACCGCAUGUGGCCAGGGGAGGCAUCUUCUUUCGGCCAAAGGAGGCGACUCCGGAGACGGAUGGGCAUGCGUGACAUUAGCUAGUUGGCGGGGUAACGGCCCACCAAGGCGACGAUGUCUAGGGGUUCUGAGAGGAAGGUCCCCCACACUGGUACUGAGACACGGACCAGACUCCUACGGGAGGCAGCAG